CCCAAGGGUUGGGCUGUUCGCCCAUUAAAGUGGCACGCGAGCUGGGUUCAGAACGUCGCAAGACAGUUCGGUCUCUAUCUGUUGUGGGCGCAGGAAUAUUGAAGAGAUCUGACUCUAGUACGAGAGGACCGAGUUGGACGAACCUCUAGUGUACCAGUUGUAUCGCCAGAUGCACUGCUGGGUAGCUACGUUCGGAAUGGAUAAGCGCUGAAAGCAUCUAAGCGCGAAGCCAACUCUAAGAUGAGUAUUCCAUUUUCCCUCCGGGGAAUAAAAGGGUCGUGAUAGACGAUCACGUUGAUAGGCUACAGGUCGAAGUGCAGUGAUGUACGCAGCCGAGUAGUACUAAUUACCCAAAUGCUUCCUUUU
This 366-nucleotide ribosomal RNA is filed under the name Saprospiraceae bacterium. RNAcentral's name for it is "partial 23S ribosomal RNA". It matches the Rfam family "Bacterial large subunit ribosomal RNA", at positions 2564 to 2925 of the family's 2925-position model. Lineage: Bacteria; Pseudomonadati; Bacteroidota; Saprospiria; Saprospirales; Saprospiraceae. The record is from RNAcentral.